This 492-nucleotide ribosomal RNA is filed under the name uncultured bacterium. RNAcentral describes it as "partial 16S ribosomal RNA". It matches the Rfam family "Bacterial small subunit ribosomal RNA", at positions 29 to 507 of the family's 1533-position model. The record is from RNAcentral.
AGUGAACGCUGGCGGUAGGCCUAACACAUGCAAGUCGAACGGCAGCACAGUAAGAGCUUGCUCUUACGGGUGGCGAGUGGCGGACGGGUGAGGAAUACAUCGGAAUCUACUUUUUCGUGGGGGAUAACGUAGGGAAACUUACGCUAAUACCGCAUACGACCUACGGGUGAAAGCAGUGGAUCUUCGCACCUUUCCUGAUUCAAUGAGCCGAUGUCGGAUUAGCUAGUUGGCGGGGUAAAGGCCCACCAAGGCGACGAUCCGUAGCUGGUCUGAGAGGAUGAUCAGCCACACUGGAACUGAGACACGGUCCAGACUCCUACGGGAGGCAGCAGUGGGGAAUAUUGGACAAAGGGCGCAAGCCUGAUCCAGCCAUACCGCGUGGGUGAAGAAGGCCUUCGGGUUGUAAAGCCCUUUUGUUGGGAAAGAAAAGCAGCAGAUUAAUACCCCGCUGUUCUGACGGUACCCAAAGAAUAAGCACCGGCUAACUUCGUG